Molecule: ribosomal RNA, 253 nt
Filed under: uncultured bacterium
Lineage: Bacteria
Description: partial 16S ribosomal RNA
Rfam family: Bacterial small subunit ribosomal RNA
Source: RNAcentral
UACGAAGGGGGCUAGCGUUGUUCGGAUUUACUGGGCGUAAAGCGCACGUAGGCGGGUUGUUAAGUCAGGGGUGAAAUCCUGGAGCUCAACUCCAGAACUGCCUUUGAUACUGGGGAUCUCGAGUCCGGAAGAGGUGAGUGGAACUCCGAGUGUAGAGGUGAAAUUCGUAGAUAUUCGCAAGAACACCAGUGGCGAAGGCGGCUCACUGGCCCGGUACUGACGCUGAGGUGCGAAAGCGUGGGGAGCAAACAGG